UCCACAACUCCCGAACUUGUGCUGCUAAAACCACUACAGCUCCUGGAUUUUUUUCUACAGCUAUAACCUGUAUAAAAAAACAUACAAUGUAAAGGGGUUAGCCUAAGAAUUAAAGGUGUACAAUUCAAAGAAACAGAAAUGUUCAAUAACAACACAUGGCAACAUUGGCAUUUGGCAAAAGGGUUUCAAUUUUUACUCCAUUCAAGAUACAUUUAUUAACUAUAAGCAUUCAAAGUGGCACGGACAAGAGGGCCACGACCUGCUCCAAGGACCAUAACAGUGACUUGAGUUUUUGUAUUACUUUCACUAUCUCCUUGACCCUUUUCUUUAUUUAUAUUGGAUGUUGGAGAUUCUUUCUAUAAGAAUGUUAAUAAUUAGUGUAUAUACGAUAAAAGAAGUAGUAAGUAAUUGUAAAAGUUAGACGAAUCUAUAACCACAACUUAUAUCAAACACGGCAGAAAGUAGACUCAUAAUUUUGACAAACACAAAAACUACAAAUUCAGAUUUUAAAGUUCUUCUUACUAGGAAAAUUGAAUCUUUUGUAAUAUUUAAUAUUAAAAAGACUUAUUUAUAACACUAUUAAAUAAUAGUACUGGCUAGUAUAUGUAGAGUAUGUAGAAUAUUGAAUGUUCAAUAUUGCACUUUUUUGACUUACACUUAACUUACAUCUAAACUGUCUUGACAACUAUUUUUCUUUUUAAGAUCUGCAAGUGCUUUAACAAUUGCAUUCUGGUAUUGAUUAUAUUUUAUUGGAUCUUUUUCAAACACAUUAUAUGUGUGGGUAUCAAGAUUGUCUGCUAAAGGUUGUAAUGGUGUCUGUAGAUAGUCCUCCCAGCUAAAAAAGAUGUUGUUAAAAUGUAAAUAUAUCUAUUAAUACAAAUAA
Pieris napi is the source of this 883-nucleotide long non-coding RNA. RefSeq lists it as uncharacterized. The record is from RefSeq and is a predicted model, not a curated record. The transcript has 3 exons. Lineage: Eukaryota; Metazoa; Arthropoda; Insecta; Lepidoptera; Pieridae.